This 966-nucleotide ribosomal RNA is filed under the name Triticum aestivum (bread wheat). Its description in RNAcentral is "partial small subunit ribosomal RNA". Lineage: Eukaryota; Viridiplantae; Streptophyta; Magnoliopsida; Poales; Poaceae. The record is from RNAcentral.
AUGACGACUAGGAACGGGCAAAUCAAGAAUUUCACUUUGAAUUCCGGACCUCAACAUCCUGCUGCUCAUGGUGUUUCACGAUCAGUAUUGGAAAUGAACGGAGAAGUGGUGGAAUGUGCGGAACCACAUACUGGAUCACUCCAGGGGAUCCGGCCGGCCGGCGCCCACCCGACUAGAGCGACUGAGAAAUUAAUCGAGUACAAAACUUAUCUUCAAGCUUUACCUUAUUUUGAUCGUUUAGACUAUGUUUCUACGAUGGCCCAAGAACACGCUCAUUCUUCAGCCGUAGAGAGACUUUUGAAUUGUGAGGUACCAUUACGAGCUCAAUAUAUAAGAGUGUUAUUCUGUGAAAUAACUCGAAUUUCAAGUCAUUCACUUGCUUCAACUACUCAUGCUAUGGAUGUGGGAGCAUCAACUUCGUUCCUUUGGGCUUUUGAGGAGCGGGAGAAAUUGUUGGAAUUCUAUGAAAGAGUCCCGGGAGCCAGGAUGCAUGCCAGUUUCAUACGACCUGGUGGAGUGGCACAAGAUCUGCCUCUUGGCUUAUGUCGAGAUAUUGAUUCCUCCACACAACAAUUUGCUUCUCGUAUCAACGAAUUAGAAGAGAUGUCAACCGGCAACCGUAUCUGGGAACAACGAUUAGUGGAUAUUGGUACUUUCACUGCACAGCAAGCAAAGGAUUGGGGAUUCAGUGGUGUAAUGUUAAGAGGUCCUGGGGUAUGCUGGGAUUCGCGAAGAGCAGCACCUUACGAUGUUCAUGACCAAUCGGAUCUUGACGUACCAGUAGGUACCAGAGGAGAUCGCUAUGAUCGUUACUUUAUCCGUAUUGAAGAGAUGCGACAAAGUGUUUGGAUCAUUGUGCAAUGUCCUAAUCAAAUGCAUAGUGGCAUGAUCAAAGACGAUGAUCGUAAACUAUGUCCUCCAUCACGAUCUCGAAUGAAACUAUCCAUGGAAUCGUGCGCCGUGUGA